Molecule: transfer RNA, 95 nt
Filed under: Roseibium sp. RKSG952
Lineage: Bacteria; Pseudomonadati; Pseudomonadota; Alphaproteobacteria; Hyphomicrobiales; Stappiaceae
Description: tRNA-Ser
Rfam family: tRNA
About the family: Transfer RNA (tRNA) molecules are approximately 80 nucleotides in length.
Source: RNAcentral
GGAAGCGUGGCCGAGCGGUCAAAGGCGGCGGUUUUGAAAACCGUUGGGCCUCUGAUAAGGGGGUCCCGUGGGUUCGAAUCCCACCGCUUCCGCCA